Molecule: small RNA, 1858 nt
Filed under: Pan troglodytes (chimpanzee)
Lineage: Eukaryota; Metazoa; Chordata; Mammalia; Primates; Hominidae
Description: retained intron
Source: RNAcentral
GAAGUGCUCCCAGAUGAACUUGGCCGAGAGCAUCACCAUGGCCACACCAAGUAGGCGGGGCUAGGACCCCACCCACACCCCCUCCCUGGAAUCCCAGGGCCCACCUGGGUGAUGUUAUCCCAGAGACAGGGACAAGAGAUGAGAGGAUGGAAAUGUCUCUGGGAAAAAGGCUGCAGGAGCUGGAGGUGAUGAGCAGAGCAGGCGAAGGAAAGGGAGGCCCCUCCUCCCUCCAUGUUAGAGAAGGGAGCCCUAGAUCUGGCCACCAGCAGCUUGUGCACACCUGGGGCUGAGGGCACACAGGGCUGCACGUACACACUCAAGGCCACUGUGAGAACAGGUGAGCAGGGCCAGAGGGCUGUGGAAAGCCCGGCUGAAGGCUGCACCUCCAGGCUGAAGAGAGCUUUACCGGCAUCCGCCAGGAAGCCUGGGCUCUGGGGCUGUGUCAUUGUAGAUGACCAUUUCCAGGUCGUGGCCACAGCCCCGGUUCUGGUCACAGCUGGGCCACCAAUCCUCCUGCGCCACCCACCACUUAGCCAUCGGGCCGUCUUCAGGGCAUCGGCCAGCCUCAGCUGCUGCAGCCAGACCCUGGCGUUGUGGAAGGCUGGCCAGUCCACAUCCUGCAGCCUACGAGGAGGUCAGGUCUUUGUCAGCAAAGGUGGGAAACCAGGGGAACGGCGGCACCAGGCUCCAGAGACAUUUGAAAUGACUUCAGAAGACCCAGGGCCACUCAGGGUGACCACAUCGGACAGCUGCCCCUGACAGGCUGUGACGGAUGUUUAAGGAAGGGAUCGAUGGUCACCUGACUCUCAGGAGUGCAGGAGAGGCCACUGAGACCCAUUCAGAAGGGACUGGGUGUUGGUCCCUGUGGACUCGGCCUCUGGCUGGUGGUGAGGAGGAUUUCUCACCAGCCAUCCUCUGGCCCCUGCUGCCUAAGGGAGCAGACUCGUGUGAGCUGGGUUCCGGGAAGUCCGUCUCCAGCAGGAACUCCAGGCCAAGCGCACAUCUCUGUGAUCGUGUGUCACCAUGGCGGUGCGUGCGUGAGAGCAUGCGUCUCCAGCAGGAACCCAGGCCAAGCGCACAUCUCUGUGAUCGUGUGUCACCAUGGCGGUGCGUGCGUGAGUGCAUGCGUGUGCACUGGUCUGUGGCCUGUGGUGCGUGAGUUCCACUAGGACCCAUGUGAGGUGGAGGGUCUUCCACCUCCCCUCCCAUUCGGGCCCUCCCUGUGCCACACAGACACCCAUCUGUGCCUUCCCCUUCUGUGCCACCAAAAAUGGAAGAGAUAGACACUUAAAAGAAGCAACUCAAAUGGAAUGAAAUCGUUUCUGUUGGGGAAUGCUCAGACGUUCAAUCAUCUUAGAAAAUCCCACCCCACCUCCCGCUGCAGAUUAAUUACUGUAAGUGCAACUCCAAUCGGGCUGGUGACCCCCCAGGAAACCUCUGAAGCUGUCCCAGGCUGUUCCCAACAUGGGACCUCCACUCUGGCACACCAGGACCCGAGGCCCCUGACAGGCUCCUCGUUCCUGCCUCGCUCAAGGCUCAGGUCCCCCACCUGAAAUACCCCCUCCCACCAGCAUCUCCUGCCUCGCUCCUGCUGCCAGGUCCCCAAAAGCUCUUGUUCAUGAGCUCGCCUGCCAUCCACAGCCCCCACCAGAACCCAAGUGGCUGUGGAAUUCGCUGCCCUGAUUCUCUGCCCAGAGCCUCGGUCCAGACUGUGUUCCCUGGCGAAUUAGUGUUCAGCAUUUUUGUUUAUUUGUUUGUUCUUUAACAAAAGUUGUUUUGGUUUGAGAUUCAGCAAAAAUACACACUGCAUUCAGCUUCCUCUCCAUUCAGGAUUCAGUAAAUUGGUUGUUUUCCCGUC